Molecule: long non-coding RNA, 335 nt
Organism: Dermacentor albipictus
Lineage: Eukaryota; Metazoa; Arthropoda; Arachnida; Ixodida; Ixodidae
Source: RefSeq, a predicted model, not a curated record
UUAAGCGCUCGCUGCUGGAAGAACUUUCACACUACUGAGCGAGUGACCAUGGUGCGCGUUUUGAGCUUCAGCAUUUUCGUGGUUUUGACCAUAUUUGCCUUACUUUUGUCCACGAUGCCGGGAUUGGCCUUUGCAGCAAGGGGACCAAGUGGAAGAGGUGGCAGAGGCGGUGGUGAAGGAAAACUAUUCCAAAUCCCACCUGGACGUAGAGGCCGCUGAGCUUCCUUUAAUGGCAAAUACAAGAGAGCAUAAUAUUUCGGAAUAUGGCAACGAAUACCUCUGGAUCCCAUCGACUACACAAAUUUUUUGGAAAGUAAAGUUUUCUGGAAUUGUCA